GUGCUCGCUUUGGCAGCAUAUAUACUAAAAUUGGAACAGUACAGAGAAGAUUAGCAUUGCCCCUGCACAAAGAUGACACUCAAAUUUGUGAAGCAUUCCAUUUUUUU
Molossus molossus (Pallas's mastiff bat) is the source of this 107-nucleotide small nuclear RNA. NCBI's taxonomy places the organism in Eukaryota, Metazoa, Chordata, Mammalia, Chiroptera, Molossidae. The record is from RefSeq and is a predicted model, not a curated record.